Molecule: ribosomal RNA, 341 nt
Filed under: uncultured bacterium
Lineage: Bacteria
Description: bacterial SSU rRNA
Rfam family: Bacterial small subunit ribosomal RNA
Source: RNAcentral
CGCUCGACAUCAGAGUUUGAUCCUGCUCAGGAUGAACGCUAGCUACAGGCUUAACACAUGCAAGUCGAGGGGCAGCACGAACAAAGCUUGCUUUGUUUGGUGGCGACCGGCGCACGGGUGAGUAACGCGUAUCCGACCUACCCAUAACUCGGGCACAGCCGCUCGAAAGAGCGAUUGAUUCCCGAUAUGUCCUUGGAGUAGAUUCAAUGAUGAAAGAUUCAUCGGUUAUGGAUGGGGAUGCGUAAGAUUAGGUAGUAGGCGGGGUAACGGCCCACCUAGCCGACGAUCUUUAGGGGUUCUGAGAGGAAGGUCCCCCACACUGGUACUGAGACACGGACCAG